RNAcentral lists this long non-coding RNA (1538 nucleotides) under Bos taurus (domestic cattle). RNAcentral describes it as "long non-coding RNA NONBTAT024191". Lineage: Eukaryota; Metazoa; Chordata; Mammalia; Artiodactyla; Bovidae. The record is from RNAcentral.
GCUUCUCUAAGAGGAAAUGCAAAACUUUGAUUUAAACAAAACUAAUAAGAAAUUGAACUUUACGUCCCCCCAAAAAACCUAGAUGUUGUUACUCACUUCACGUAAGUUAUAGUUAGGAGUAUUUUAAAAACUAAUUCUGCUUAGUGAUUCAUUUUGUAAAAAAUGAAAGACAACAUCCUUUAGAAGUAGUUGUAAUCAUCCAAAUGUAAUACUGUUAUGUUUACUAUCCUAUUUCCCUGUUCUUUUCCCCACAAACCUUGAAAGCAUUCAUUUAAUGUCCCUAAAAAAUGUAGCUGAAUUGAUUAAAAAUUCUGGCAAGAAGAUAACUGAGUGUGCGUAUUAGGAAAGUAGACAAUCACAUUUGAGAAUGUUCCGCAUAGUUUUCAAUCAACUAAAAUCGUUCUGUCUUUGAAUGUAGAUAUAAUAUAUGGUUUUGCAGUGAAUUCUGAAUGGAAAAAAAUCAUGCCUAAAACUAAUGUGAAAUGUGACUUAGGAUCACGUGAAUGAUAUAUUGAAAUACAGAUGUAUAUAUUAUUAGGGGGAAAGACAAAAUUUAAACGCAAACUGGGAAGAAACAACAUUGUCUCUAAUUAUCCAAAUAUAUUUUCCAGAUCUUGUUGCUGCAGUAUCAGUUCUGAGUUACUCAGAUUGUUUAUGUGUUACUUAAUUUAAUGUGGCUAAAUGCAGUCAUUUAUUUAAGUUAUUGGGUAGUAGAAGAUUCACAACUGUUGUCCUCUAGAGUAUUAAAAAGAAAUGUCUGCUUUAGCAUAGGUAGAAUAAAGUGACUAAAUGAUAUCAUAGGAAGAAUUUUCUCUACAACUGGAGAUACUCAGGCAAGUGAGUUGUAAGUUUAACCUGAGGGAAUAAAAUAGACUUUUGCAGGAACUGAGUGUAGAUGAUCUUGCUUGUAUGGGCUUUGUGUCCCUAGAAUUAGUCUUUUAAAAUGCGACUGGCAAGUUUAAUGAAUAGGCAAAAUUUGUGAUAUUUUGAGGCUCUUAAAAUUUUGUGUCAACCUCGUGAUGUUUAAUAUCAUAUCCUCCUUAAAAUAAAAGACUUUUAUUUUGAUAGUGGUAUGUUCCAAGUGCCAUGUGAAGAUUCUGUUCUUAAAUUUGUUGGGCAUUUUUACAUUCAGUGCAUCUCUUUAAAUCUGAGUGUUAUUUUGCUGCAUGUCCGCUGUGUUACCUUGUCAGUUCCCCUAACAGCAUUUAAAGAAAAAUUGUCACUGACGUUUCUUGUGCUAAAGGUAAUAAAGAAAAUAUUGUUGAGGGAUAUGAAACUAGAUUGAGAAGAGGGAGGAAAAUGAUAAGUGGGAGCCAUGUAUCCGAGAUACACUUGUUGAAAAGUCUACACUGGUUUUUGAAUGGAAAACAAACCAUGUGUCUAUCUACCUUAAGAACAAUGUUUUGUUUUGUUUUUAAUUUAUUUUACUUAGUUUUAUUCAUGUAAUAUUUCUAUUUUCUUUGCAGAUUGUUUUUUAAUUUCAAUUGUGAAGUUUUUACUUCUCUCAAAAUGUAUUAUGUACUGUAUUUUUAGAUAUC